Molecule: transfer RNA, 59 nt
Filed under: Ciconiphilus decimfasciatus
Lineage: Eukaryota; Metazoa; Arthropoda; Insecta; Psocodea; Menoponidae
Description: tRNA-His
Source: RNAcentral
UAAAGUAUAGUUUAUAUAAAAUAUUGAAAUGUGGAUUCAAAGAAAUAAUUUUACUUUGG